This 75-nucleotide transfer RNA is filed under the name Deltaproteobacteria bacterium. RNAcentral's name for it is "tRNA-Gln". It matches the Rfam family "tRNA". Rfam says of the family: Transfer RNA (tRNA) molecules are approximately 80 nucleotides in length. Their secondary structure includes four short double-helical elements and three loops (D, anti-codon, and T loops). The record is from RNAcentral. Lineage: Bacteria; Pseudomonadati; Myxococcota; Myxococcia. RNAcentral also lists the same sequence under 1 other name.
UGGGGUGUCGUCAAGUGGCAAGACACGGGGUUUUGGACCCCGCAUUCGGAGGUUCGAAUCCUCCCACCCCAGCCA